RNAcentral lists this ribosomal RNA (530 nucleotides) under uncultured cyanobacterium. RNAcentral describes it as "bacterial SSU rRNA". It matches the Rfam family "Bacterial small subunit ribosomal RNA", at positions 335 to 873 of the family's 1533-position model. Lineage: Bacteria; Bacillati; Cyanobacteriota. The record is from RNAcentral.
AGUCCUACGAGAGGCAGCAGAAUGGUCGAAAUCCUACCUGAGCAAUGGCGCGUGAGUGAAGAAGGCUGUAGGCACGUAAACCUCCGGUUUCUUGGAUGAGCGGAACGGCAGUCCCUGUGGUAUAAGCAUCGGCUAGCUACGACCCAUCAUUUGACGAUAAUACAGAGGAUACAACCGGUAUCCGGAAUGAUACGCGUAAAGCGUCCACAGAAUGCAAUUUAAGUCUAUUGUUAAAUGCCAUGGCGGAACCCCGGAGGGGCAAUGGAAACUGAUCUGCUCGAUUGCUAUAGGGGCAUAGGAGGUCCCAUUGGAGCGGUAUUGAAGGUUGAGUUUGGGAAAAGGAUCUGUGGCGAAAGCUUUCUUUUAGCACGCAACGAACGCUAGGGGACGGAAGCUAGUCGAGCGAAUUCGAUUUUUUCCCCUAUAGUCCUACCCGUAAACAUCGGAUAGAAGGCUCUUUUUGGAUCGUCUCCUGCCCAGUCCCGGAAAAACACAAUAAUUUGUCCGGGAGGAAAGCGAGCCAGUCGCCC